CGCGCAGGCUAGUUUCUUUAAUUAUGAUGUGAAAGACACACCGGCUCAUCCGUCGGAGGGUCAUUCGUAAUACUGGGGAACUUGAGUGCUGAUGAGGGAGAGUGAGAAGUAACAAGUGUAGCGGUGAAAAAAAGUAGAUAUUUGGAGGAACAACAUCAGUGAAGAAGACUUUUUGGUGUGUAACUGACACUGAGGCGCGAAAGCGUGUGGAGCAAACAGGAUUAGAUAGCCUGGUAGUCCUCGCACGUAAACGAUGAGUGUCUAAGUGUUAGGGGGUUUCCGCCCUUUAGUGUUGCAGAUAACGCAUUAAGCACUCCGCGUGGGGAGUACGGUCGCAAGACUGAAACUCAAAGGAAUUGACGGGGGCCCGCACAAGCGGUGGAGCAUGUGGUUUAAUUUGAAGCAACGCGAAGAACCUUACCAGGUCUUGACAUCCUCUGACAACCUUAGAGAUAGGGCUUUCCCCUUUGGGGGACUGAGUGACAGGUGGUGCAUGGUUGUCGUCAGCUCGUGUCGUGAGAUGUUGGGUUAAGUCCCGCAACGAGCGCAACCCUUGAUCUUAGUUGCCAGCAUUCAGUUGGGCACUCUAAGAUGACUGCCGGUGACAAACCGGAGGAAGGUGGGGAUGACGUCAAAUCAUCAUGCCCCUUAUGACCUGGGCUACACACGUGCUACAAUGGACGGUACAAAGGGCAGCGAGACCGCGAGGUUUAGCCAAUCCCAUAAAACCGUUCUCAGUUCGGAUUGUAGUCUGCAACUCGCCUACAUGAAGUUGGAAUCGCUAGUAAUCGCGGAUCAGCAUUGUUGCGGUGAAUACGUUCCCGGGCCUUGUACACACCGCCCGUCACACCCCGAGAGUUUGUAACACCAAGAAGUUAGGUGAGGUAACCUUUGGAGCCAGCCGUACUCACUUGUUCCCUUUU
RNAcentral lists this ribosomal RNA (923 nucleotides) under Rossellomorea vietnamensis. RNAcentral describes it as "bacterial SSU rRNA". It matches the Rfam family "Bacterial small subunit ribosomal RNA", at positions 568 to 1473 of the family's 1533-position model. The record is from RNAcentral. Lineage: Bacteria; Bacillati; Bacillota; Bacilli; Caryophanales; Bacillaceae.